Molecule: ribosomal RNA, 748 nt
Filed under: Paenarthrobacter aurescens
Lineage: Bacteria; Bacillati; Actinomycetota; Actinomycetes; Micrococcales; Micrococcaceae
Description: bacterial SSU rRNA
Rfam family: Bacterial small subunit ribosomal RNA
Source: RNAcentral
GUGAUGCAGCGACGCCGCGUGAGGGAUGACGGCCUUCGGGUUGUAAACCUCUUUCAGUAGGGAAGAAGCGUAAGUGACGGUACCUGCAGAAGAAGCGCCGGCUAACUACGUGCCAGCAGCCGCGGUAAUACGUAGGGCGCAAGCGUUAUCCGGAAUUAUUGGGCGUAAAGAGCUCGUAGGCGGUUUGUCGCGUCUGCUGUGAAAGACCGGGGCUCAACUCCGGUUCUGCAGUGGGUACGGGCAGACUAGAGUGCAGUAGGGGAGACUGGAAUUCCUGGUGUAGCGGUGAAAUGCGCAGAUAUCAGGAGGAACACCGAUGGCGAAGGCAGGUCUCUGGGCUGUAACUGACGCUGAGGAGCGAAAGCAUGGGGAGCGAACAGGAUUAGAUACCCUGGUAGUCCAUGCCGUAAACGUUGGGCACUAGGUGUGGGGGACAUUCCACGUUUUCCGCGCCGUAGCUAACGCAUUAAGUGCCCCGCCUGGGGAGUACGGCCGCAAGGCUAAAACUCAAAGGAAUUGACGGGGGCCCGCACAAGCGGCGGAGCAUGCGGAUUAAUUCGAUGCAACGCGAAGAACCUUACCAAGGCUUGACAUGAACCGGAAAGACCUGGAAACAGGUGCCCCGCUUGCGGUCGGUUUACAGGUGGUGCAUGGUUGUCGUCAGCUCGUGUCGUGAGAUGUUGGGUUAAGUCCCGCAACGAGCGCAACCCUCGUUCUAUGUUGCCAGCGGUUCGGCCGGGGACUCAUA